AACGCACAUUGCGCUUUCUGGUAUUCCGGAGAGCAUGCCUGUUUCAGAAUCGAUAAAUUGUCUUGUCUUGUGUCCUGGACAUGGAACAAGGAUUUUUUGGAUGUUUUUGCUUUUGUUGAAAACCAAUCAUCCUCGAAUUCAUUGGAAGAUAUUUCCCAAUCGGAGCCGGGCUUCAUUUCUCCAAGUGCAACAAUAAGGGGGACAUUGGAAACACUGUGGGUCUUGAUGGGAGGGUAAUGAUGAUUGCGUUGAGAUGUCUUCUUCAAAAACAAACAAACAAACAUGCAGAGACAAUACAUAUCUCUGCAGAGGUCUCGAUCUGAAAUCAGGCAGGAAAACCCGCUGAACUUAA
RNAcentral lists this unclassified non-coding RNA (352 nucleotides) under uncultured fungus. Its description in RNAcentral is "partial contains 5.8S ribosomal RNA, internal transcribed spacer 2, and large subunit ribosomal RNA". The record is from RNAcentral. Lineage: Eukaryota; Fungi.